This 325-nucleotide long non-coding RNA is filed under the name Panax ginseng (ginseng). RNAcentral describes it as "long non-coding RNA (PGIN_LNC016920)". Lineage: Eukaryota; Viridiplantae; Streptophyta; Magnoliopsida; Apiales; Araliaceae. The record is from RNAcentral.
GAGAUAGAGCUGCCAAGUUGGCGAAGAUGGCGGACGAAGCAGACAGAGCCAUGGCGGUCCUAUUAAAGCAAAGAGAAGAUAUAGCCGAACAGAUGCUUCGGGUGGCAGAAUUGCAGGACGAAGCAUCCAGCCAUGAUCAAUACGAAAGACGCAGUGGGCAUAAGGAGGAGACUCGACGAAAGGGUAAGGAGCCGAAGAGUUCCCCGCGGGUUUCUAGGGAUCAUUCUCGAAGUAGGAGAAGAUCGAGAAGCAGAACUCCCAUGGCCUCGAAGAAGGCGAUAAUGGCCGUUACUUCUCAGCAUCGAGAUGAUUAUCAACAAAGGAG